RNAcentral lists this ribosomal RNA (480 nucleotides) under Staphylococcus pasteuri. Its description in RNAcentral is "bacterial SSU rRNA". It matches the Rfam family "Bacterial small subunit ribosomal RNA", at positions 993 to 1468 of the family's 1533-position model. Lineage: Bacteria; Bacillati; Bacillota; Bacilli; Caryophanales; Staphylococcaceae. The record is from RNAcentral.
GACCGCUCUAGAGAUAGAGUUUCCCCCUUCGGGGAACAAAGUGACAGGUGGUGCAUGGUUGUCGUCAGCUCGUGUCGUGAGAUGUUGGGUUAAGUCCCGCAAACGAGCGCAACCCUUAAGCUUAGUUGCCAUCAUUAAGUUGGGCACUCUAAGUUGACUGCCGGUGACAAACCGGAGGAAGGUGGGGAUGACGUCAAAUCAUCAUGCCCCUUAUGAUUUGGGCUACACACGUGCUACAAUGGACAAUACAAAGGGCAGCUAAACCGCGAGGUCAAGCAAAUCCCAUAAAGUUGUUCUCAGUUCGGAUUGUAGUCUGCAACUCGACUACAUGAAGCUGGAAUCGCUAGUAAUCGUAGAUCAGCAUGCUACGGUGAAUACGUUCCCGGGUCUUGUACACACCGCCCGUCACACCACGAGAGUUUGUAACACCCGAAGCCGGUGGAGUAACCNUUUANGNNGNUACCCGUUUGNAGGCAUNNU